AACGAACGCUGGCGGCAUGCCUAACACAUGCAAGUCGAACGAGACCUUCGGGUCUAGUGGCGCACGGGUGCGUAACGCGUGGGAACCUGCCCUUAGGUUCGGAAUAACUCCCCGAAAGGGGUGCUAAUACCGGAUAAUGUCUUCGGACCAAAGAUUUAUCGCCUUUGGAUGGGCCCGCGUUGGAUUAGCUAGUUGGUAGGGUAAAAGCCUACCAAGGCGACGAUCCAUAGCUGGUCUGAGAGGAUGAUCAGCCACACUGGGACUGAGACACGGCCCAGACUCCUACGGGAGGCAGCAGUGGGGAAUAUUGGACAAUGGGCGAAAGCAUGAUCCAGCAAUGACGCGUGAGUGAUGAAGGCCUUAGGGUUGUAAAGCUCUUUUAACCGGGAUGAUAAUGACAGUACCGGGAGAAUAAGCUCCGGCUAACUCCGUG
Molecule: ribosomal RNA, 433 nt
Filed under: uncultured bacterium
Lineage: Bacteria
Description: partial 16S ribosomal RNA
Rfam family: Bacterial small subunit ribosomal RNA
Source: RNAcentral